RNAcentral lists this transfer RNA (71 nucleotides) under Marmota monax (woodchuck). RNAcentral describes it as "tRNA.Ala". It matches the Rfam family "tRNA". Rfam says of the family: Transfer RNA (tRNA) molecules are approximately 80 nucleotides in length. Their secondary structure includes four short double-helical elements and three loops (D, anti-codon, and T loops). Further hydrogen bonds mediate the characteristic L-shaped molecular structure. tRNAs have two regions of fundamental functional importance: the anti-codon, which is responsible for specific mRNA codon recognition, and the 3' end, to which the tRNAs corresponding amino acid is attached (by aminoacyl-tRNA synthetases). tRNAs cope with the degeneracy of the genetic code in two manners: having more than one tRNA (with a specific anti-codon) for a particular amino acid; and 'wobble' base-pairing, i.e. permitting non-standard base-pairing at the 3rd anti-codon position. Lineage: Eukaryota; Metazoa; Chordata; Mammalia; Rodentia; Sciuridae. The record is from RNAcentral.
GGGGUUGUGGCUCAGUGGUGGAGCGCUUGCCUAGCAUGCAUGAGGCACUGGGUUCAAUCCUCAGCACCACA